This 253-nucleotide ribosomal RNA is filed under the name uncultured bacterium. Its description in RNAcentral is "partial 16S ribosomal RNA". It matches the Rfam family "Bacterial small subunit ribosomal RNA", at positions 524 to 776 of the family's 1533-position model. The record is from RNAcentral.
UACGUAGGGGGCGAGCGUUGUCCGGAAUCAUUGGGCGUAAAGCGCGUGUAGGCGGCCCGGUAAGUCCGCUGUGAAAGUCCAGGGCUCAACCCUGGGAGGCCGGUGGAUACUGCAGGGCUCGAGUCCGGGAGAGGCGAGUGGAAUUCCUGGUGUAGCGGUGAAAUGCGCAGAUAUCAGGAGGAACACCAAUGGCGAAGGCAGCUCGCUGGGACGUGACUGACGCUGAGACGCGAAAGCGUGGGGAGCGAACAGG